Molecule: long non-coding RNA, 533 nt
Organism: Gallus gallus (chicken)
Lineage: Eukaryota; Metazoa; Chordata; Aves; Galliformes; Phasianidae
Exons: 3
Source: RefSeq, a predicted model, not a curated record
GGCAGAUGAGGUAUUCAGUUGUUCUCUAUAGAAGAUUAUCUGCAAAGCUUUAGCAUCAGGCUGCCUAUGGAAAAAGAAAAAGUGGAGUUUACCCACCAGUUGCAUCUGAUGGCAGAGCAAUUGUAAACCAAGCAGAUCUGCAUGACUCACUACAGCUCUCCCUGAGCUUGAUGGAUCUUUUAAAUUCUAACCCUAUUAUUUCUAACCAUCUACUUCAGACUGCUUCUGCCCAGGAUGAGCCAAUUCAGCUCUUCAUGGCAGACUACCUGGGGAGAGCUGGUCCACAACUCAGGUGUGCUCACACGCUGCAGUAGCACAAGCAUGAAACUGAUGGUCCUUUCCAGAGGCCAACCUCUACAUAAGCCUGACUCAGCAUAAUUCACAACACCAGGGCAGAAUUUCUCAAAGGCAACAGCACAAUUGCCACUGAGAAUCUGGCUUUCUGACUUCCAGAAGAAAAGAAAUUGAAAGCAAGCUGCAGAUUCUUUGCUAAUGUACUACUGAAAAUACCAUGAGAUUAAACUCAUUCCUUU